Molecule: ribosomal RNA, 652 nt
Filed under: uncultured Methanosaeta sp.
Lineage: Archaea; Methanobacteriati; Methanobacteriota; Methanomicrobia; Methanotrichales; Methanotrichaceae
Description: bacterial SSU rRNA
Rfam family: Archaeal small subunit ribosomal RNA
Source: RNAcentral
UUCCGGUUGAUCCUGCCGGAGGUUACUGCUAUCGAGGUUCGACUAAGCCAUGCGAGUCGAAUGUAGCAAUACAUGGCGUACUGCUCAGUAACACGUGGACAACCUACCCUUAGGUCGGGGAUAAACCCGGGAAACUGGGUAUAAUACCCGAUAGUCCUCGGAUGCUGGAAUGCACCGAGGUCUAAAGCUCCGGCGCCUAAGGAUGGGUCCGCGGCCUAUCAGGUAGUAGUGGGUGUAGCGUACCUACUAGCCUACGACGGGUACGGGUUGUGAGAGCAAGAGCCCGGAGAUGGAUUCUGAGAUACGAAUCCAGGCCCUACGGGGUGCAGCAGGCGCGAAAACUUUACAAUGCCGGCAACGGCGAUAAGGGGACCUCGAGUGCCAGGUUACAAAUCUGGCUGUCGUGAUGCCUAAAAAGCAUUGUAUAGCAAGGGCCGGGCAAGACCGGUGCCAGCCGCCGCGGUAACACCGGCGGCUCGAGUGGUAACCGUUAUUAUUGGGUCUAAAGGGUCUGUAGCCGGCCGGAUAAGUCUCUUGGGAAAUCCAGCAGCUCAACUGUUGGGCUUUCAGGAGAUACUGUCUGGCUCGAGGCCGGGAGAGGUGAGAGGUACUUCAGGGGUAGGGGGAAAUCUUGUAAUUCGAAGGACCACCA